UGGGGAAUAUUGCACAAUGGGGGGAAACCCGUGAUGCAGCGACGCCGCGUGAAGGAAGAAGUAUCUCGGUAUGUAAACUUCUAUCAGCAGGGAAGAUAGUGACGGUACCUGACUAAGAAGCCCCGGCUAACUACGUGCC
Molecule: ribosomal RNA, 139 nt
Filed under: uncultured bacterium
Lineage: Bacteria
Description: partial 16S ribosomal RNA
Rfam family: Bacterial small subunit ribosomal RNA
Source: RNAcentral